This 74-nucleotide transfer RNA is filed under the name Bradyrhizobium sp. CCBAU 51753. Its description in RNAcentral is "tRNA-Met". The stretch from base 6 to 68 matches the Rfam family "tRNA", at positions 6 to 65 of the family's 71-position model. From Rfam's summary of the family: Transfer RNA (tRNA) molecules are approximately 80 nucleotides in length. Their secondary structure includes four short double-helical elements and three loops (D, anti-codon, and T loops). Lineage: Bacteria; Pseudomonadati; Pseudomonadota; Alphaproteobacteria; Hyphomicrobiales; Nitrobacteraceae. The record is from RNAcentral.
CGCGGGGUGGAACAGCCCGGUAGGUCGUCAGGCUCAUAACCUGAAGGUCAUAGGUUCAAAUCCUAUCCAGGAUU